UUAUUUGAGAGUUUGAUCCUGGCUCAGGACGAACGCUGGCGGCGUGCUUAACACAUGCAAGUUGAACGGGCAUACAUGGAAGCUUGCUGAAGUGUAUGUUAGUAGCGGACGGGUGAGUAAUGCAUGAGA
RNAcentral lists this ribosomal RNA (129 nucleotides) under Aminivibrio sp. RNAcentral's name for it is "partial 16S ribosomal RNA". It matches the Rfam family "Bacterial small subunit ribosomal RNA", at positions 1 to 122 of the family's 1533-position model. The record is from RNAcentral. Lineage: Bacteria; Thermotogati; Synergistota; Synergistia; Synergistales; Aminobacteriaceae.